GCCACUGGUGCUCUGCAGACUGGGUGGAAGGCAGUCACCCUAAGUGGAGGUCUCUGCAGUUGGCAGAAAACGAAGACUCUGACGCUGAGACGUGGAAACGACAUAACUCUACUCUCUCAACCCAGAGCUCAUUCUAGUUUCUUUGAACUGAGGCAUUUUGUGGAGGAGAACGUCCUCACUUUUCAGGUGUGCACACAGAGGGGUCUUCAGCCAUCCUCGCCAUCCUCCCCAGCGGCAGCAUCCUCCCCAUCAGGAGCAGCAUCCUCCCCAUCAGCAGCAGCAUCCUCCCCAUCAGCGGCAGCAUCCUCCCCAUCAGCGGCAGCAUCCUCCCCAGCGGCAGCAUCCUCCCCAGCGGCAGCAUCCUCCCCAUCAGGAGCAGCAUCCUCCCCAUCAGCAGCAGCAUCCUCCCCAUCAAGAGCAGCAUCACCAUUGGCAGCAUCCUCCCCAGCAGCAGCAUCACCAGCAGCAGCAAGAAGAUGCCUGCACUGCUGCUGUGCUGUCUGCACUGCUUCCCUAGAAGCCCCAUCACGAAGCCCAAGAAUGUUCUCCUCCUCAUCGUUCUGUGUGUGAAGCAGUAAAUACAGGUGCCUUCCGGGGGAAAAUGAGAGCUGCAGCAUUUUUCUCAAGCUUCCUCCUCGUCCUGCUUGUGGCUGGAGGCUUGUGGAUGCUUCAAAGGAACAGUGACUUGACAGAAUUCCUUUCUCCCGCUCCCCACGUGUGACUUCCCAGGCCUCCAGAGCAGCGCCCGCCGCUGCCUGGUCCCUCAGUACCCCAGUCCCAGAGGGAGGAGCACCCGCUCAAACGGGAGCAUUAAGCAGGUGUGUCGCUGAUGUUUUAACUCCUAAGACUUUGGGUUUGGGACUUGGAUCAACUCACAGAAUAUUGGAAGGUGACACGACUACGAGCUAACACCUGACCUCCCAGCAUCACGGGGAGCUGGCCGUCCGGACACGUCAAAGGUGUUUUGUCCUCAGUGAGGAGAUUUGGGUGAAGGUCAAGGCCAUGUUUUCUAUAAACUACCAUCCUACCAGCUACCUGCCUUCCUGCUGCCUCGCUGGAAAUGUUACCUGGCACACGCAGGAGUCGCCGGUGUUCUGAGCGGCGAAUGUACCCUUUCCCCCGUAGCCGUGGUGCAUGUAGGCGUGUUCGCGUGCCCGUGGGGCUUUGUCACUGUUCACGCAGUUUCAACCUGUGUGUGUCCGUGCACUCAUCUCCCUCCUACUCAGCGGGGUCUCCCUCCCAGAGGAAGGCGGGCGCCCACGGGGGAGGGCUUGCAGGUCGGUGCAGAGCCUGUGCGUGACCCAAGCUGCCCCGCUGGGCUGCCGACCCUUCAUCUUGCUGCGCUGCCUCUGCCCUGGGAAUUUUUCAAACUCUUGGUCCGCUUUCCAACUCAAGGCCGCUAAGAUGGUUUCUCCCAUAUUUUAUUGACUUGAAAUUCAGAAGAUGUCCUGUGAACCAUUUGAAAGUGAAUGAGCUCGUGACUUUUAGUGCAUUCACAGUCUUGUGCAACCAUCGCCAUUCUCUGGCCCCCAGAGGAGCCCCCGGCCCCUGAGCAGUCCCUCCCUUGCCU
Molecule: long non-coding RNA, 1570 nt
Filed under: Sus scrofa (pig)
Lineage: Eukaryota; Metazoa; Chordata; Mammalia; Artiodactyla; Suidae
Description: lncRNA (ENSSSCG00030070736.1)
Source: RNAcentral